GCCCAGACUCCUACGGGAGGCAGCAGUGGGGAAUAUUGCACAAUGGGGGGAACCCUGAUGCAGCGACGCCGCGUGGGUGAAGAAGUCAUUCGUGACGUAAAGCCCUAUCAGCAGGGAAGAAAAUGACGGUACCUGACUAAGAAGCCCCGGCUAACUACGUGCCAGCAGCCGCGGUAAUACGUAGGGGGCAAGCGUUAUCCGGAUUUACUGGGUGUAAAGGGAGCGUAGACGGAAAGGCAAGUCAGAAGUGAAAACCCAAGGCUCAACCAUGGGACUGCUUUUGAAACUGUCAAACUAGAGUACGGGAGAGGUAAGAGGAAUUCCUAGUGUAGCGGUGAAAUGCGUAGAUAUUAGGAGGAACACCAGUGGCGAAGGCGUCUUACUGGACCGAAACUGACGUUGAGGCUCGAAAGCGUGGGGAGCAAACAGGAUUAGAUACCCGCGUAAU
Molecule: ribosomal RNA, 448 nt
Filed under: uncultured bacterium
Lineage: Bacteria
Description: partial 16S ribosomal RNA
Rfam family: Bacterial small subunit ribosomal RNA
Source: RNAcentral